RNAcentral lists this ribosomal RNA (2602 nucleotides) under Salmonella enterica subsp. enterica serovar Paratyphi A. Its description in RNAcentral is "partial 23S ribosomal RNA". It matches the Rfam family "Bacterial large subunit ribosomal RNA", at positions 210 to 2827 of the family's 2925-position model. The record is from RNAcentral. Lineage: Bacteria; Pseudomonadati; Pseudomonadota; Gammaproteobacteria; Enterobacterales; Enterobacteriaceae.
CCCGAGGAAAAGAAAUCAACCGAGAUUCCCCCAGUAGCGGCGAGCGAACGGGGAGGAGCCCAGAGCCUGAAUCAGCAUGUGUGUUAGUGGAAGCGUCUGGAAAGGCGCGCGAUACAGGGUGACAGCCCCGUACACAAAAGCGCAUGUGCUGUGAGCUCGAUGAGUAGGGCGGGACACGUGGUAUCCUGUCUGAAUAUGGGGGGACCAUCCUCCAAGGCUAAAUACUCCUGACUGACCGAUAGUGAACCAGUACCGUGAGGGAAAGGCGAAAAGAACCCCGGCGAGGGGAGUGAAAAAGAACCUGAAACCGUGUACGUACAAGCAGUGGGAGCACAGGUUUACCUGUGUGACUGCGUACCUUUUGUAUAAUGGGUCAGCGACUUAUAUUCUGUAGCAAGGUUAACCGUAUAGGGGAGCCGGAGGGAAACCGAGUCUUAACCGGGCGUUAAGUUGCAGGGUAUAGACCCGAAACCCGGUGAUCUAGCCAUGGGCAGGUUGAAGGUUGGGUAACACUAACUGGAGGACCGAACCGACUAAUGUUGAAAAAUUAGCGGAUGACCUGUGGCUGGGGGUGAAAGGCCAAUCAAACCGGGAGAUAGCUGGUUCUCCCCGAAAGCUAUUUAGGUAGCGCCUCGUGAAUUCAUCUCCGGGGGUAGAGCACUGUUUCGGCUAGGGGGCCAUCCCGGCUUACCAACCCGAUGCAAACUGCGAAUACCGGAGAAUGUUAUCACGGGAGACACACGGCGGGUGCUAACGUCCGUCGUGAAGAGGGAAACAACCCAGACCGCCAGCUAAGGUCCCAAAGUCAUGGUUAAGUGGGAAACGAUGUGGGAAGGCCCAGACAGCCAGGAUGUUGGCUUAGAAGCAGCCAUCAUUUAAAGAAAGCGUAAUAGCUCACUGGUCGAGUCGGCCUGCGCGGAAGAUGUAACGGGGCUAAACCAUGCACCGAAGCUGCGGCAGCGACACUCAGGUGUUGUUGGGUAGGGGAGCGUUCUGUAAGCCUGUGAAGGUGGCCUGUGAGGGUUGCUGGAGGUAUCAGAAGUGCGAAUGCUGACAUAAGUAACGAUAAAGCGGGUGAAAAGCCCGCUCGCCGGAAGACCAAGGGUUCCUGUCCAACGUUAAUCGGGGCAGGGUGAGUCGACCCCUAAGGCGAGGCCGAAAGGCGUAGUCGAUGGGAAACGGGUUAAUAUUCCCGUACUUGGUGUUACUGCGAAGGGGGGGACGGAGAAGGCUAUGUUGGCCGGGCGACGGUUGUCCCGGUUUAAGCGUGUAGGUGUGUGUUCCAGGUAAAUCCGGUUCACUUUAACACUGAGGCGUGACGACGAGGCACUACGGUGCUGAAGCAACAAAUGCCCUGCUUCCAGGAAAAGCCUCUAAGCAUCAGGUAACAUCAAAUCGUACCCCAAACCGACACAGGUGGUCAGGUAGAGAAUACCAAGGCGCUUGAGAGAACUCGGGUGAAGGAACUAGGCAAAAUGGUGCCGUAACUUCGGGAGAAGGCACGCUGACACGUAGGUGAAGUGAUUUACUCAUGGAGCUGAAGUCAGUCGAAGAUACCAGCUGGCUGCAACUGUUUAUUAAAAACACAGCACUGUGCAAACACGAAAGUGGACGUAUACGGUGUGACGCCUGCCCGGUGCCGGAAGGUUAAUUGAUGGGGUCAGCGCAAGCGAAGCUCCUGAUCGAAGCCCCGGUAAACGGCGGCCGUAACUAUAACGGUCCUAAGGUAGCGAAAUUCCUUGUCGGGUAAGUUCCGACCUGCACGAAUGGCGUAAUGAUGGCCAGGCUGUCUCCACCCGAGACUCAGUGAAAUUGAACUCGCUGUGAAGAUGCAGUGUACCCGCGGCAAGACGGAAAGACCCCGUGAACCUUUACUAUAGCUUGACACUGAACAUUGAGCCUUGAUGUGUAGGAUAGGUGGGAGGCUUUGAAGUGUGGACGCCAGUCUGCAUGGAGCCGACCUUGAAAUACCACCCUUUAAUGUUUGAUGUUCUAACGUGGACCCGUUACCCGGGUUGCGGACAGUGUCUGGUGGGUAGUUUGACUGGGGCGGUCUCCUCCUAAAGAGUAACGGAGGAGCACGAAGGUUGGCUAAUCCUGGUCGGACAUCAGGAGGUUAGUGCAAUGGCAUAAGCCAGCUUGACUGCGAGCGUGACGGCGCGAGCAGGUGCGAAAGCAGGUCAUAGUGAUCCGGUGGUUCUGAAUGGAAGGGCCAUCGCUCAACGGAUAAAAGGUACUCCGGGGAUAACAGGCUGAUACCGCCCAAGAGUUCAUAUCGACGGCGGUGUUUGGCACCUCGAUGUCGGCUCAUCACAUCCUGGGGCUGAAGUAGGUCCCAAGGGUAUGGCUGUUCGCCAUUUAAAGUGGUACGCGAGCUGGGUUUAGAACGUCGUGAGACAGUUCGGUCCCUAUCUGCCGUGGGCGCUGGAGAACUGAGGGGGGCUGCUCCUAGUACGAGAGGACCGGAGUGGACGCAUCACUGGUGUUCGGGUUGUCAUGCCAAUGGCACUGCCCGGUAGCUAAAUGCGGAAGAGAUAAGUGCUGAAAGCAUCUAAGCACGAAACUUGCCCCGAGAUGAGUUCUCCCUGAGACUUUAGGUCUC